AUUUAGCUUACUUUAAAGUUAGACUUGUGAAAUUUGGUCCUAAGACUUUACAAUUGAUUUCCCUAAAGCUAAAAAAAUGGUUCAAACUAUAAAGAUAACAUUAUCCUCAUCUUCAUCCUUGUCUCUGUCAUCUUCAAUUUUUCUCUUUCAUCGUCAAAUCAUUAGGGUAACAAACGAGAGGCAGUAUUUCACCUUCUUGCAUUCUCUUACCGUUUUUCCAAAAGGUUUGCCCUCAGCUGGUUAUGAGAUCUUUCUCCAAAGAGCCUAACCGCAAUGGAGGUCCACACGGUGAACACACCAAUUGCAGUGUGCCGCAAAUUGUUCAUUCCCAAAGCACUGCCUACACUUACAACUGAUUGUAAGUAACAGGUGUAAACGUAUGUAGUGUUUUUGGAGUUUCUUCAAUUGUCUUAGGUUGUGGAGACAAACCUGACACUCAUACACAUAUCAAAACAGCCGCUUGGAGAUUGGAGAAUUCAUGGUGCAAGCAGAUCCUAAAAAUGUUGGCCGCGAGCUCAAGGAGAAUCAUGAACAUGAUAUAUCUAGCGAGGGGGAUGAGUCUUCUAAAACAGUUAGUGAUGGGGAUGAAGCUUCUAAAAUAGUUAGUGAUGGGGAUGAGUCUUCUGAGACAUUUAGUAACGGGGAUGAAUCUGCUAAGGAGAAUGAUACAUUAUUGAUACCAGAACGUGAAACCUCAAUAGACCUCUUCGAAUAUAGUUUGCGUAAGGAAUUGGACGACGAGGACCACUUUGAUGGACUUGUGAGCAUUUUAUCAAGGUGGGAUGUUGUUAAAAAUAUACAAAUUACUUGGAGAAAGAAAAAGUGUACAACCAAUUUAUGAAUAGUUGUUUUGGCUGCUUAUUAAAGUGAACCUAGAGAAUUGGAACAAAAAUUUUUGUGGCCAGAUCGUACACUAUCUCCUACAACGACGUGUUGUAAGCUCAAAGAAAAAGGAGGUUUGGUUCAUAAUGGUAAGCCAAUUCGAUUUGUUAUGAAGGAGUUUUCUAUGAUUAUUCGGACUGAAUUGUGAAAAAAUUCCCACCGGUAAGGCUUUAUAUGAUGAAGAGAAGGCAAAAGAUUUUUUAGAUCUGGUGUUGAACAAAAAUAGUAGUCUAACGAGAAAUGAUUUAAAGGAAAUAUUAAAGAGUGACAGAUUUGAUGCGCAAACAAAGUUGAAGAUCGCUAUGUUGUGGUGUUGUUGAGUCUUUUUUAUGGGUUGGUGAUCAAAAGCGAACUGUUGAUGUAAAGAAUAUGAAAAUGGUGACAAACUUGAAUUACUUUAAUGCAUAUCUUUGGGGUAGGCCUUCUUUUGAGAUGACAGUUGAGUUCCUCAUAAAUUUUAACUUGAAGAAAAAGUCUGCAUAAUGGAAGGAAAACAAUUCCACAUCUAAAGGUUACAGCUUGCAAGGAUUCCCUUGGUCUUUUCUGGUAACUUAUAAAUAAUUUAUGUUGAGAUAGAUAUUGAAUUGGUCAUGACAGUUACCAAGCAUACAGAUAGACAUCAUAAAGGAGAGGAACAUGACAAUUUCAGCACAAAUAGCAGAGGUUUCACAGACACUCAGAGGAUUGACAACAAAAAAUAGUACCUCCAAGACCCUAAUAGCGCAUGCAAGAAAUUUCUCUAAUCGGGGAACAAAUCAGAUAUCAAGGCUUCAUAGACCACCGAUUUUGAAGUCAAUCUAGAAGAAAUCGAAAGGAACAACUCUUUACUUGAAAUGAAACAAUCUAGUUUUUCUGAGAAUCAACAUCUUUGGCUAUGGAUUCGCUGCACCUGGUCAAAGCUUUAUGGUGCAAGAAAUGCUCCAAGGGCAGAAAAUCAGACUUGGAUUUCCGGUGAAGAUCUCUGCUCCGACGAAGAUGAAAAGUUCUUGAAGUUUUCUAUUUUACUUUUGAGUUUGGUGUUGAACUGACCUUGUGCAAUAUUUUCUUUUUGGUUUUUGUUUUUCAUUUUUUAUAUAUUAAUAAAAUAUCCCUCAACUAAGUUUU
Molecule: long non-coding RNA, 1986 nt
Organism: Lycium ferocissimum
Lineage: Eukaryota; Viridiplantae; Streptophyta; Magnoliopsida; Solanales; Solanaceae
Exons: 3
Source: RefSeq, a predicted model, not a curated record